Molecule: long non-coding RNA, 2450 nt
Organism: Astatotilapia calliptera (eastern happy)
Lineage: Eukaryota; Metazoa; Chordata; Actinopteri; Cichliformes; Cichlidae
Source: Ensembl
AGAUUUAAUUGGCAGAUAAUGUUUAAAAAAAAAAAAAAUUCUACCAACCAUUAACCAUAAUUCAAUAAUCCUAUAAACCUAAUAACCAAAUGCACUUUUAACUCUUAUUAGAAUGAGAUUUUAACCACUACGGUGCAAAGUUUUUAGAUACUGCGUUGUCAGUGUUUACUCAGCAUUCAAGGACAGCAAUAUUUGCAUAGCAUUUUUACUGACAUGUAGUGCACAUAUGUUUUGGGCAAAAACAUUUUUGAAUAUUAAAAUACGAACAUUUGUAACAAACAAUUGACAAAUUAGCCAAUGCCAAUGCAAAACUUUCUCUGCCUGUUAAAAAAAGAAGAUAAUCUUCUCACAAACUGGUGUUUGAUUUUGAAACAGGAAAAAAGUGGGGAAACAACUGGAAAGACUAAUAUUUGAAUAAAACCUGAAAGCAAGUAAAUACUUUCUAUGCUGCCUUAUGGUAAACUUUGGUAAUAUUUGAAUAAAACCUGAAAGCAAGUAAAUACUUUCUAUGCUGCCUUAUGGUAAACUUUGGUAAUAUUGAUAAAGAACAGCACUGGCUGAUGAUGAAAUACAUUCAGCUGGCAUGGUGACACUGCCAGUAUAACCUGCAGGGCUGGACUGGGACAGAAAAUCGGGCAUUUUGACUACAGACCGGCCCACCAGGUAUUAAAGCCAUAAAGCCUUUGAAUGAAAACAAACGCUGUGGUGACAGUGAUGUACAGUCUUGUUGGUAUAUGUAUGAUUUCUAUACAUUUUACGUCAGAUAAAAACUUUGGUUGUAAGAUUUAGAUAAUUAUUUAAUAAAAGCUAGAUAUUUUAAAUGAGAAUAAGAAAGAAAAGUAUUUCUUUGUGCCCCCCUCUCCCUGUUAAUGCCCUACCUGCCCCCCUGGCAACACUUUGCUAGACCCGCCCCUGCACAGUUACCAGCUGUCAGCUACAUAAAAAAGGAUCCUGGUGUUAUUUGUCUCUCAGAAACAGUUCAUAACUUCAACUCAUUCAUGUCACCUAAAAGGUAAACCUGUUUCUCCAUCACCUGUUCAGCUCUGAUGAUUCAGUAAAGACAUCUCCUGGUUUCAUGUUUCCCUCUCACCACAUAUCCAAACUGACAUCAUGACCAGCAGCUUUAUAGCUGUGGCUCCAGCAAACAUCAGCUGAUACUAGAAAUUAAUAUUAAAUACAUUCUAACAACAGCUGAUCAAGCUUAAACGUGCUGCUGUUGUUUAGCGCGACAUCCGCUGGUUUCCUCUUUCUGGCGCAAAGUGGGCGAUAAAUAAACAAGAGAGAAAAGCUGAUCAGCUAAUCAUUGAUCAGUUUCAUGAUUGAAGUAGCAACAGGAGAGGCAGGGGGAGAGAAUGAGAGAAGAGGCAGCUGUGCCGCAUAACGACAGAAUAAAUCCAGCUUUGUGUCUUUUUCCAUCCUAGCUGAAGUUCGGGACAAACUGCGUCUCUUCUCAGCUCAAUACGAAACGUGUAAUAUUUUCUCUGAAUGAGGGACCAUUCCAUUUUUUUAAGGAGCCGUUGGCAACUCUACUAACUAACCUUAUGAAUAAAAUAAAGUUCACUAUCAGUAACAUCAUAGCACCCACCCACCUAAAAACUCCAUCAAGCUGGCUAGAACACAGUAUGAGUUAUUGCAACUGACGGUAAAAAGUCAGCACAACUAAAAUAAACUCCACCUAAACUUGGUUUAUAUCUGACCCAGAGAGACUGCAGGUCAUAACUUCUUACCUGAAGUUCAGUUCACCUGACACUCGGACUGGUGGCUGCUUCGGGUCUCUCCUCCUGCCUCCCCUUCCCUCAUCCACCUGCUGGCCUCUGUGGAAGCCCCGCCAUAGCCACCACCAAACAACGGAGUUAUUUCUACACAUCGACCUGCAUCUGGCCAAUCCACCACCUCUCAUUGUUCAUGCCGUUACAAAAAAAAAAAAAAAAAAGUCAAAUAAGCCCGAUGGCCAGUCCAGCGAUGUUAACCUGCAACCAAAUCUGCAGCUCCAAUGUUACGACUUAGAUUACAUCUUAUAACUCAUAACUCUUAUGUUAGCUGCCCUCAGUAGCAUACUGUCUGAAAUAUUCCACGGCUGCAAUAAUUCUUUAAGUGUUAUUUUUUCCUUGGUAUUCUAAUUUCACCGAAGUUUACUAAACUCAACAAACUUAAUAUUACUUACCGGGACAUUUAUUCUGUCCUCAUUUUCUUUCACCGAAAAAUUGUUUCCUGCAGUGCCAUCUUUCGCGCUUGGCUCUCCUACCUUUGCUAACGUGAUGCACAUAGCGCAGAAGGAUGCUGCAUUCACUUACAAUCGGAUAUCUGAGCUUCACCGUGAAAACAUAAUCGGACAUUUGAUAUUUGAUUGAAUUUUAUUGUUUUGCCUUUGGGGUGGCACCUGGGGUGGCCAGUCUGGUUAUGGGGGUGGCCUGUGCCCCCCCAGGCCACCCCGCUGGACACGCCAUUGG